Molecule: long non-coding RNA, 1372 nt
Organism: Peromyscus leucopus (white-footed mouse)
Lineage: Eukaryota; Metazoa; Chordata; Mammalia; Rodentia; Cricetidae
Exons: 3
Source: RefSeq, a predicted model, not a curated record
AUUUCUAUGCAUGGGCUACUACAAAAAUAGGCUCAAAAUAAUACACAGGUCUGGGGGCCUUAAAGAAGCUUGUGCCAGGGCUGAAUUUACUCUCACCUCAGCUACAGGAGAAGUCUUUGUCCAAGGUUCUAUCCUUCCAUUUCCAAUCAGCAAGUGUUUUUUCUGGAAGAAAAUAUUCCAAAUGCCCAUCAUUGUUCUGAGCACUUUGGAGGAACAGGGUAUACACAGUGGGCAGUGGAGUCUGUUGCGGAAGAUGGGAAGGCGUGCUAAUCGAAUGCAUCAAGACCACUGUGUCCAGUGUACACUCGGCUUAACUCAGAUCUGACUGCUCCUGCAUACACCCUGGGCCCAGAGAUGGCACCACCCACAGUGAGCUCUUACAUCAAUCAUCAAACAAGAAAAGGCACCACAGGUCCAUCUGGUUGGGAGCAUUUUCUCAAUUGAGGUUCCCUCCUUCCCAAUGACUCCAGCCUGUGCCAAGAUGAUAUUAAAACUAGCCAGUACAAUGCUUUAUGCUGAUUUGUGAUUAAUUCCACAUAUUAGAUCCUGGCUAAUUUAUUUUAAAGGUGUAUGGCAGUAUGUCUAUUUACUAAUUCCUCUUCUUUAUAGAUAUUCCAAGAAGUCUACAAAUGAACACCGAUAAUAGCAGUCUGGACAAUGAUACAUUGUGCUAUUAGUGUUAGAUUAUUAUUAUUUUGAAGAGUCACAUGUAUAACAAACAGGAUGCAACUGGACAUGGCGGGCAACUGUUGCUAAGCUGAGAACAACAAAGGAUUAGAUUCUCGUUAUUACUCACAGUUGUCCCAAAUAUCUUCGUAUGCCUGGCUUCUCGGAUUUUUUUUCCUUCAGUUUGGCAGGAAGUCUUAAAGAAGCAAACAGCAUGCCCUUCCGCCCUGGCAUAUUCAUAAGCUAUUUUGGGAUGAGUCAUCGGAAUUCUGUGGUUUGUAUAUCCUGAAGGGAGAAAGAAGACACUGUAUGGUUAACAUUUAUUUGAAAGAGCAAAUUGGAAAGAAAAAUUCUUUGAUAAAGUUCAGCAUUAGGUAAAAAAAAAAAAAAUGCCUGUGGAUCUUUACACUGUUGUAAAGAUUUUGCUUGUGUGCCCAUCUCUGGGAAUACCAUACCACAGUAACUCUUCAUGCUGAACUCUCAGUUUGACUUAGUGCCUGUAGAAGUCUGAACAGGUGUUUAGCAGAAGUAAUUCACAGGCAGUAAACAAAUGACUGUUUCUUUCAUUGGAGUUGAUGCUAUAUGUGAAGAUCUAGAGGCCAAGUCAUCUAUCUGAGACUGUUGGGUCACACUGCCAAUACUGUCACUGUAGAUUAUGAUUGAGUCCACUCUGUCAUCUAUGACAAUAAAAAGUACUGGUCAAGAA